GAUGAAGAACGUAGCGAAAUGCGAUAAGUAGUGUGAAUUGCAGAAUUCAGUGAAUCAUCGAGUCUUUGAACGCACAUUGCGCCCCCUGGUAUUCCGGGGGGCAUGCCUGUCCGAGCGUCAUUGCUGCCCUCAAGCACGGCUUGUGUGUUGGGCCUCCGUCCUCCUCCCGGGGGACGGGCCCGAAAGGCAGCGGCGGCACCGCGUCCGGUCCUCGAGCGUAUGGGGCUUCGUCACCCGCUCUUGUAGGCCCGGCCGGCGCUUGCCGACACAUCAAUCUUUUUUCCAGGUUGACCUCGGAUCAGGUAGGGAUACCCGCUGAACUUAAGCAUAUCAAUAAGCGGACGA
RNAcentral lists this unclassified non-coding RNA (345 nucleotides) under soil metagenome. RNAcentral describes it as "partial contains 5.8S ribosomal RNA, internal transcribed spacer 2, and large subunit ribosomal RNA". The stretch from base 1 to 120 matches the Rfam family "5.8S ribosomal RNA", at positions 35 to 154 of the family's 154-position model. The record is from RNAcentral.